UCUUAGCCCCGAUUGCAGCAAUUGUCUGAGCUCAUUUUAAGAAUUAGGCUGCGGCGGCGAAGCCGCCGCAGCCUAAUUCUUAAAUAGCGAGUGCGGAAAGCGGGAAAAAGC
RNAcentral lists this unclassified non-coding RNA (111 nucleotides) under Chryseobacterium formosense. Its description in RNAcentral is "Flavo-1 RNA". The record is from RNAcentral. Lineage: Bacteria; Pseudomonadati; Bacteroidota; Flavobacteriia; Flavobacteriales; Weeksellaceae.